Non-coding RNA from Phrynosoma platyrhinos (Desert horned lizard), 72 nucleotides. NCBI's taxonomy places the organism in Eukaryota, Metazoa, Chordata, Lepidosauria, Squamata, Phrynosomatidae. The record is from the annotation of a GenBank genome assembly.
GCCAGUGUGGCAUAGUGGUUCGGAUGUUGGAUUGAAAAUCUGGAGACCAGGGUUUGAUUCCAAGCUUGGCCA